This 472-nucleotide ribosomal RNA is filed under the name uncultured bacterium. RNAcentral describes it as "bacterial SSU rRNA". It matches the Rfam family "Bacterial small subunit ribosomal RNA", at positions 335 to 805 of the family's 1533-position model. The record is from RNAcentral.
ACUCCUACGGGAGGCAGCAGUGGGGAAUAUUGCACAAUGGGCGCAAGCCUGAUGCAGCCAUGCCGCGUGUGUGAAGAAGGCCUUCGGGUUGUAAAGCACUUUCAGUCGUGAGGAAGGUAGUGUAGUUAAUAGCUGCAUUAUUUGACGUUAGCGACAGAAGAAGCACCGGCUAACUCCGUGCCAGCAGCCGCGGUAAUACGGAGGGUGCGAGCGUUAAUCGGAAUUACUGGGCGUAAAGCGCAUGCAGGUGGUUUGUUAAGUCAGAUGUGAAAGCCCGGGGCUCAACCUCGGAAUAGCAUUUGAAACUGGCAGACUAGAGUACUGUAGAGGGGGUAGAAUUUCAGGUGUAGCGGUGAAAUGCGUAGAGAUCUGAAGGAUACCGGUGGCGAAGGCGGCCCCUGGACAGAUACUGACACUCAGAUGCGAAAGCGUGGGAGCGAAACAGGAUUAGAUACCCCGUGGUAGACUGUCA